CUCGAGACUUAGAGUCACAUCUGGAUUACUUCCCGUUGCCGUGGUGUGCUAAAGUCCUCGAAGAGUAACUGCUCUCUCUAUUCACUGGCUGUUCGAUCUCGUGGUGCAGUCAGUCACCGGGUUAGUAACAUCG
Small nucleolar RNA from Ornithorhynchus anatinus (platypus), 133 nucleotides. RefSeq annotates it as small nucleolar RNA SNORA3/SNORA45 family. The transcript has a single exon. The record is from RefSeq and is a predicted model, not a curated record. Lineage: Eukaryota; Metazoa; Chordata; Mammalia; Monotremata; Ornithorhynchidae.